This 301-nucleotide long non-coding RNA is filed under the name Vigna radiata. Its description in RNAcentral is "long non-coding RNA (VRAD_LNC018134)". Lineage: Eukaryota; Viridiplantae; Streptophyta; Magnoliopsida; Fabales; Fabaceae. The record is from RNAcentral.
AACCAUGUUAGCCCCCAACACCCAAUUGGGAGCAGCGUUCAAAAAACCAGGGAGCAGGCAUCAACUUUCGGUACAGAAUCCAUUUUCUCACCUGGUAAUCGCUUACAGCCUGUUUGUAAGCGAUUACACAGGCCGAAAAGGCACAACCUUCACUGUCCUGUUUUCAUUUAACAUUACUGUGAACAAAUGUGAGACAAUACUAAAUACAUAAAAUCAGUAGUAAGAAUGUGUAUUCAUUUCCUAUAAAUUUGUACAAAUAUGUAAAUAUUUCCAAUGUAAAAAUUUGCAAUACUGUAAAUCA